This 488-nucleotide ribosomal RNA is filed under the name Oceanospirillaceae bacterium M7-C8. RNAcentral's name for it is "bacterial SSU rRNA". It matches the Rfam family "Bacterial small subunit ribosomal RNA", at positions 1 to 493 of the family's 1533-position model. Lineage: Bacteria; Pseudomonadati; Pseudomonadota; Gammaproteobacteria; Oceanospirillales; Oceanospirillaceae. The record is from RNAcentral.
UAGAGUUUGGAUCAUGGCUCAGAUUGAACGCUGGCGGCAGGCCUAACACAUGCAAGUCGAGCGGUAACAUGCCUUCGGGUGAUGACGAGCGGCGGACGGGUGAGUAAUGCUUGGGGAUCUGCCCGAUGGCGGGGGACAACCACUGGAAACGGUGGCUAAUACCGCAUAAUGUCUACGGACCAAAGUGUGGGACCUUCGGGCCACACGCCAUCGGAUGAACCCAAGUGAGAUUAGCUAGUUGGUGGGGUAAAGGCUCACCAAGGCGACGAUCUCUAGCUGGUUUGAGAGGAUGAUCAGCCACACUGGGACUGAGACACGGCCCAGACUCCUACGGGAGGCAGCAGUGGGGAAUAUUGGACAAUGGGGGCAACCCUGAUCCAGCCAUGCCGCGUGUGUGAAGAAGGCCUUCGGGUUGUAAAGCACUUUCAGCGAGGAGGAAGGGUGUUGUUUUAAUAGAGCAUCAUCUGACGUACUCGCAGAAGAGACCG